RNAcentral lists this ribosomal RNA (466 nucleotides) under uncultured bacterium. RNAcentral's name for it is "partial 16S ribosomal RNA". It matches the Rfam family "Bacterial small subunit ribosomal RNA", at positions 28 to 507 of the family's 1533-position model. The record is from RNAcentral.
GACGAACGCUGGCGGCGUGCUUAACACAUGCAAGUCGAACGGAAAGGCCCAGCUUGCUGGGUACUCGAGUGGCGAACGGGUGAGUAACACGUGGGUGAUCUGCCCUGCACUCUGGGAUAAGCCUGGGAAACUGGGUCUAAUACCGGAUAUGACCGACUGUCGCAUGGUGGUUGGUGGAAAGCUUUUGCGGUGUGGGAUGGGCCCGCGGCCUAUCAGCUUGUUGGUGGGGUAAUGGCCUACCAAGGCGACGACGGGUAGCCGACCUGAGAGGGUGAUCGGCCACACUGGGACUGAGACACGGCCCAGACUCCUACGGGAGGCAGCAGUGGGGAAUAUUGCAAAAUGGGCGCAAGCCUGAUGCAGCGACGCCGCGUGAGGGAUGACGGCCUUCGGGUUGUAAACCUCUUUCACCAGGGACGAAGCGUGAGUGACGGUACCUGGAGAAGAAGCACCGGCCAACUACGUG